RNAcentral lists this ribosomal RNA (298 nucleotides) under uncultured bacterium. RNAcentral describes it as "partial 16S ribosomal RNA". It matches the Rfam family "Bacterial small subunit ribosomal RNA", at positions 28 to 330 of the family's 1533-position model. The record is from RNAcentral.
GAUGAACGCUGGCGGCGUGCUUAAGACAUGCAAGUCGAACGGAGUGUGUAGCAAUACUCACUGAGUGGCGAAUGGGUGAGUAACACGUAGGUGACCUGCCCUGAAGUGCGGAAUAACAGUCCGAAAGGAUUGCUAAUACCGCAUGUGGUCCCGGGCGUUAGAGAACCGGGUCUAAAGCAGUAAUGCGCUUCAGGAGGGGCCUGCGGUCCAUCAGCUAGNGGUAGGGUAAUGGCCUACCAAGGCAACGACGGAUAGGGGACCUGAGAGGGUGGCCCCCACAUUGGCACUGACACACGGG